UAGAUAUUAAUCCAUUAUCAGAUAUGUGAUUUGCAACUAUUUUCUCCCAUUCUUUAGGCUGCUUUUUAAUUUUGUUGACUGUGUCUUUUGCUGUGUGGAUGCUUAUUAGUUUGAUGUAGUCCAACUUUAUUUUUGUUUUUAUUGCUUAUGCUUUUGGUGUCAUAUCAAAAAAUCCUUGCCAUGACUAAUGUCAAUCAAUGUUUCUAUAUUUUCUUCUAUUAAUUUUAUGAUUUCAAGUCUUACAUGGAAGUCCUUGAUACAUUUAGGGUUAAUUUCUGAGCAAUGUAAAGUACGGGUCCAAUUGCAUUUUUUUUGCAUAUGAAUAUUCAGUUUAACCAAAACCAUUUAUUGAGGAGAUUAUCCCAUGUAUUCUCAGCUCCAUUGUCAAAAAUUAGUUGACCUAUAAUAGGAGUUAUUUCUAGGUUCUUGAUCCUUUUCCACUGAUGUAUUUUUUUUUUUAAUGCCAGCACCAUGCUGUUUUAUUUACUGUAGCUUGGUAAUAAAGUUUGAAAGCAGGAAAUAUGAUUUGGCAAGAUUUGUUCUUUCUCAGAAUUGCUUUGGCUAUUUCAGUUCUUUGGGAGUUCCAUGUGAAUUUUAGGAAUGUUUUUCUAUUUCUGUGAAAAAUGACAUUGAAAUUUUGAAAAAAUUGCAUUGAAUCUGUAGCAUAUUGGCACCGUGACUACAGGGGCUGGCCACUGGCAUUUUAUCAAUGGUAGAAGCCACUGAUGGUAUUUGGAGCUAGCAGUGAGCAAGUAUGAUAUUAUAGAAGCAGUGAGCAAGUAUGAUGUUGCCAGCACAUGCAGGAGUGCAGGUCAUUGACAGGAGACAGGGAAUCUCUAGGCACUUGGGCAGCUAUGUAUGCCAGGGUUUCAUCUUGUACUCAUGUGGCAUCUAUGGCUAGCCAUGGACCCAUAUGUGGCAGUAGAGGCUAGUGAUGGGCACUGGGCCUGGUGGUGUACAGGUGCACAGCUACAGGGGCUAGAUAUAGUCACAAGCACAGUAAUGGAGGAGAGUGACAGGUGUUGGAACUGGGACCAUAUGGAUGUAUAACUGCAGGAGCUAGCUGUGAGCAUAGGCAGCAAUGAAGACCUGUGACACAAAUUCGGCCACGUCCUUGGCCUAAGAGCAGCCAUGGAGGCUUUGGUUGUCAGUGUGCACUCCUGUGGCUACAGGGCCUGCAAUGGGCACAGGCACUGCAGUGGAGGUGGGUGACAGAAAUCAGAGCUGAUGGCAUGCAAGUACAUAGCUGCAGGAGUGAUCUGUACAUGCACGGAGAUGUUUGGGACAGUGACAGGAGCCAGAACCAGAUAAGGCUGAUAAGCAUGUAGCUGCUUCUUAAAUGUGAAUGUACCUCUUUUAUGUAAAGCCAAAUUAGCUUGGAGAGUUGCCAAAAUAAUAUUUUACAAAAAUUUAAUGAGGAAUAAAAAUACAAUAUUCAUAGCAGUCAGUACUAACUGGAGAAUGACACCACAAAGCAGUGAUGCAGUUACAUAGAAGUGAGAAAAAAAUGCAUAACUAGAAGAAAUAGAAUUUUAAACCAUAAGUAGACCACAUUUUCUUUGGCUUUCCUUUUAGGACAUAAAGUAUUAUGCUGAAAUAGGCUGGAUACCCAGAAAAGUUUUAACAGGUAAAGCCAUCUGGUCAUUAAUCUGCCUUGAAAUUUCUGAAAGGUGCUGAGGGCAAAGCAGCAGAUGUCAUUAGUGAACUGUGUAGUGAUAAUAAUCAAAAAAUUUCCUUCUGCCUUAGCAUGUGAAACAAAGAAAGAAAAGGGAAUUAACACAGGAAGAGGAAUUUAGAUGUCCUCAUAAUUUUAAUCUAAAAGAAAAAAAAAGAUUAUUUGGUUGAGCUUCAUAUUUGCAUUUAUUUCUACAAGAUUUAUAAAAUUUGGGAAAUGUCUACUGAAUGGGAACAAAUAUAUUAUGUUUUCUAGUAGGAUAUAGUCUAUAGUAUAUAUGUGUGUGUAUAUAUACACACAUACUCACAGUUAUCUACUAAAUGUGGACAUUAUUGUUACCAAUGUCAUAUAUUAAUAAUGACAAAUAAUAGAAUAUUUUCUUUUAAGACUGAGAAAUUUUGUUUUAACAAAAAUAUUCUAUUUUAAUUAUUUUCAAAUCUAAUGUGGCUAUAACACAACCCAGAAUUUUUAAGUUACAAAAAUCAGUAGGAUUGAGCUCGUUAUUAAAAAUAAAAUAAAAUCUUUUUGCAGAAUUCCUUCCAUACAAAUCGAUGAGUUGCAAAAAUGAGGAUAGAUUCUGUAUUACACAGUGAUACUUUAGAUAUUUAUAAAUCAGUUUAUAUAUUAGUGCUUUCAAUGCCCUUUAAAUGCAAGAAAUGCAUGUAUAAGCAUAUAUAUACACACAUGUAUGUAUAUAUGCAUAUAUAGAUGAUCUAGCAGUGAAGACAAAUCUUUCCUCUUGAGAGAAUUUGGAACCUCAGAGAACUUAAAAGAGGUGAAUAUUUUUUUAGGUCUUAUAAAAUCUACAGCUACAGAGAUAUAAUGUCCAAGAAGUUAGGUUAAGGCAUCUGUUCUCCUUAGGGAGAGUUAGAGGAAGGGAGAGUUAAAGAGUUAGGCUUCAAAAGUUAAUAACAUAGAGAAUUCUGGGAAUGGAAUUAUGCUUUGGGUUAAUAGAGUUCAAUUUAUCAAUAACCUAUUAUAUUAAAUCAUAACUAUUCAGUGAAAGCUUUAAAACAACUGCAAAAAUAUUGUUGUUUUUGUCUUCUACAUGAUUACAAAUUUCUGAGACUAUCUGGAAAUCAUAAGUGUUAAAGGAUUGAUGUUAGAGUGGUCUAGUUCCAUGCUUCUACUAUUCUUACUUCAUUGACUUAUGCUACACUUGUCUGAUUGCUCUGUCCUCUUAAUUAUUUUCUAAGAAUCAAAGAAUAGAAGAAUUACUUAUUUUGUCCUUACAAAGAUGACUUCCUUAUGACAGAGAAACUGUUUAGAAGUGCCUGGAGUUCCUGCUUUGACACAAUGGGGUAAGAAUCCAACUGCCCAUGGCUCAGUCACUGUGGAGGUAUGGGUGCACUCCAUAGCCCAGCACAGUGGGUUGAAGGAUCCAGCCACCCAGGUGUGGCUCAGAUGGAUUCAGUCCCUAGCCCAGGAACUUCCAUGUAAAAAAAAAAAUUGCUGUAAGUAUAUCAGCAGGGGGAAUGUAUUGAUUGCAGUGUAUCAGUCAUCUGAAAUACUGCUAUGAAAUAUUUUGGCAAUCUAUAAUUUUUCAGGCUUUCAAAAAGGAAACAACAUCUUCCUAUAAACCUGAUUGAAUUAAUUAUACAGAUGCCAAUAAAACACCAUAUGAGCCAUUUGUCUUUUAUUAUGCAUAAUGCUAAGAUAGAAAUAUUCUGUGUUCACACGUGAUUGAUUAAAAUAUCUUUUCAAUUAAAAAAUGUUUUGAAACAAAAAGAAGCUUUUGUGGUAUCAAUUUUUAAAAAUGUGGUUAAGAGCAUUUAUCACAGAAGAGCAGUUUCUGAACACAGUCUGGAUAAAACAGACCAAAUACAAGAGUUUGCUUUUGGUUAUUGGGGAAUAAAAAGCAGCAGAGUCUCCAUAUAGUCUUUUAUAUAUCCCUUUUAUUACUUUGCUCUUCUCUGUGUUUUUGUGUGUUUUUGUUAUCAGAUGACCUAGAUAAUUUCAAGAACAAUUUAUAUUUUCAAGGAGGUUGGUUGGAAUCUGAAAACUUCAUCAAGUUGUCAUAUUGGAAAAGAACGUGGACUUUUCAUUUAAAUGUAGAAUAUUAUGGUGGGGAUGUUUUCAAUUUAAAUGUAUGUACAUCUUUGCUUGGUAUUUAAUAAACCACUUAAAAGUACUAAGGCUUUGUGUUCCCAUAGCUGUCGAAUAGGCUGUGGUAUUUCUUAAGCACUAGAAAAUAAUGGUAUGGCGAAAGGGAGAGCAUGUUUAAACCUGCAAAUUCAGACACUUCUGGGGGGUGAAAGGAAGUUUCUCUAUGCUCAAGUCUUCCCUAAAAUAAACAGACUUCCUUUUCCAACUGUUGGGCCUGAGAGUCAUUCAUCCUACCCAUUCAGUCCCUCUGUAUCCAGAGUACACUGAUAACAGAGGGAUCCCAGCUCCUCUCCAGUGCUCACAUGUUAUCAUAUAUAUCAAAGAAAUCACUGUGUAUAACAGGAAUGUGGAUAACAGAUACCUGAGAAAGAGUGUGGAUCAGGAAACAUAUGGGGAAAAACACAGGAGAUAAGGAAGGUGAGUGUUUCGGUGAGGAAAUCAGAGUUAAAGUUACUGAGUGAGAUGAUUUGAAAGAGCUUAAGGCAGCAGGACUCUUGGAGAGGGAAGGCAAAAGGACUUAGGGCUCUUGCUAUGAGCUAUAAAUUAGCCUUAAGUGGAUGUGAGAAGAUGAAAGUACAUAUUCUACUUUUACAUUGUUUAUAGCACUUCUCUGAAUUCAAUACUGCAGUAAGAUUAAAACAUAAGGAAUUCCAGAAUUAGUUCAAAUACAUUUACAUCUGCUUAAUUAUUUAAAUUCUAAAAAGCCGAUAGUCAGGUCCUUGCAUUCAAAUUGCCAUUUUAGCCAGAAGUCUAUUCUGUAUUUCUAAAGUAACACAGAAAGGCUGUAUUUUCAAAAUUUAUUAGAAAAAAAUAUUUAGGGCUCUAAAUCAUCUAAAUAGAUGCUUGAAUAUCUCAUAUUAUCGCAUGCGUAGGAAUACCCUAUUUUGUGCUAAUAAAUAAAGCACAUGGUUCUUAUUUACUGUUAAAAUCCUACUAAAUGUAAUGUCAUUAUAUUAAAUUCCCAGGAAAGAUGGAUGGCUAUAGGAAAAAUAUGGCUUAUGGACUUCAUUUUUUUCUUUCCGAAUUUAGAGUGUAUUUUUUUCUUUGUUUCUUCUGUAGGCUUCUCUAUCAAUCAGGAGGUUCCUAUAAUCUAGACUUGAGUUUCAUGAAGAAAAGUUAUUCCUAAGAAUCUGAAACAUGAUGUACAAAAAAUAUGGUUUACAACAAAUAUGUUCCCAAAGACUCACACUUCUGUGCUACAUCAGAAUGCUAAUGUCCUUUGAGCAACAGCCAGAAUUUCUAAGUGUGUGGUUUGUGCGCUCUUUUUUUACAAACCAAGAACUGCUAGUUACAAAAUGCAAAUAAGUUUUAUUAACAAAGAUCAACUGGAAAUUGCUAUGGACUGAAUUGUGUUGCCCUGAAAUUCAUAUGUUGAAGUCCAGUGUGACUGUAUUUGGAGGUAGGCUUUUUGGUGGUAAUUAAGAAAUGUAAGAAAAUAAAUAUCUGUUGUUUAAGCUACCAGUCUAUAGUAUUUUGUUAAAGCAGCCUGAGAAAACAAAUAGAAAUUUUAGUAUAACGAGAUACACGGGAUUAAGAUGGCAGAAUAGAAGGACUGGAGCUCACCUUCUAUCAUAAAAACAGCAAAUUACAACCAAAUGCUGAACAACCUUCAACUAAGUGGACUGGAAACUUUCACAAAGAUAUACUGCUCCAGAGACAAAGAGGAGGCUACAUCAAGACAGUAGAAGGGGCAAUUAUGUGAUAUAAACAACUCUGCCAGGUGGCCAGCCAAUAGACUGGAAAGUAGCUGUAUCACAGAGACUCACCUACAGGAGUGAGAGUUUAGAAGUCCCCACUUCAGGUCCCCACUCCCUGACAUUGGGAGAAAGAGCCCCCAGAGCAUCUGGCAUCAAAAUUAAUACACAGAUAUCAAUUGCAUUUCUAUACACUAACAAUGAAAAAUCAGAAAGAGAAAUUAGGGA
RNAcentral lists this long non-coding RNA (5703 nucleotides) under Sus scrofa (pig). Its description in RNAcentral is "lncRNA (ENSSSCG00050056103.1)". The record is from RNAcentral. Lineage: Eukaryota; Metazoa; Chordata; Mammalia; Artiodactyla; Suidae.